RNAcentral lists this unclassified non-coding RNA (208 nucleotides) under soil metagenome. Its description in RNAcentral is "partial contains 5.8S ribosomal RNA, internal transcribed spacer 2, and large subunit ribosomal RNA". The record is from RNAcentral.
AACCAUUCUCACCUGCGGCUAGACCUGCGGAAGGAUCAUUAUCGAGUUGCAAAACUCCAACCCUUUGUGAACAUACCUCAGUCGUUGCUUCGGCGGUGGACGGCCUGUUUUUCGGAACGGCCGGAAGCCGCCGGAGGUUCCAAACUCGUAUUUUUUAGUGUAUCUCUGAGCCUGAAAACAAAUAAUCAAAACUUUUAACAACGGAUCU